This 879-nucleotide ribosomal RNA is filed under the name uncultured bacterium. RNAcentral describes it as "bacterial SSU rRNA". It matches the Rfam family "Bacterial small subunit ribosomal RNA", at positions 47 to 908 of the family's 1533-position model. The record is from RNAcentral.
CCUAAUACAUGCAAGUAGAACGCUGAAGAGAGGAGCUUGCUCUUCUUGGAUGAGUUGCGAACGGGUGAGUAACGCGUAGGUAACCUGCCUUGUAGCGGGGGAUAACUAUUGGAAACGAUAGCUAAUACCGCAUAACAAUGGAUGACUCAUGUCAUUUAUUUGAAAGGGGCAAAUGCUCCACUACAAGAUGGACCUGCGUUGUAUUAGCUAGUAGGUGAGGUAACGGCUCACCUAGGCGACGAUACAUAGCCGACCUGAGAGGGUGAUCGGCCACACUGGGACUGAGACACGGCCCAGACUCCUACGGGAGGCAGCAGUAGGGAAUCUUCGGCAAUGGGGGCAACCCUGACCGAGCAACGCCGCGUGAGUGAAGAAGGUUUUCGGAUCGUAAAGCUCUGUUGUAAGUCAAGAACGAGUGUGAGAGUGGAAAGUUCACACUGUGACGGUAGCUUACCAGAAAGGGACGGCUAACUACGUGCCAGCAGCCGCGGUAAUACGUAGGUCCCGAGCGUUGUCCGGAUUUAUUGGGCGUAAAGCGAGCGCAGGCGGUUUGAUAAGUCUGAAGUUAAAGGCUGUGGCUCAACCAUAGUUCGCUUUGGAAACUGUCAAACUUGAGUGCAGAAGGGGAGAGUGGAAUUCCAUGUGUAGCGGUGAAAUGCGUAGAUAUAUGGAGGAACACCGGUGGCGAAAGCGGCUCUCUGGUCUGUAACUGACGCUGAGGCUCGAAAGCGUGGGGAGCGAACAGGAUUAGAUACCCUGGUAGUCCACGCCGUAAACGAUGAGUGCUAGGUGUUGGAUCCUUUCCGGGAUUCAGUGCCGCAGCUAACGCAUUAAGCACUCCGCCUGGGGAGUACGACCGCAAGGUUGAAACUCAAAUGA